UCAUAUCAAGUUAGAACGAGGGAGAACUGUAGACUUGACAAUGAGAACUAAAAACUUCAUUUCUGUUGUUUUCCAUAUUUUCUAUUUCACAAAUUUCUAUUAUGGAUUUGAACUGGACUGAAAAUAACUAAAUGUACUACUAUUUUUGAACCUGUGGAUUUUGGAGGGUCAAACUUGCUGUAGAUUUGCUCAACCUGUGGAGGAACACAUUCUUUUGAUGCAAGAAUCUGUGUUUGAUGAGCUGUCAACUAGUCAAGCUCAGAUUUCUGUCCAAUGUAAGGAGAACUCUGAGGGUCAAGACGGAGUGGUGCUGUUUGACACGGAAGACUUUCCUAUGGUCAACAUCAACUGUCCUACCAGUGCAGAAGACCUGC
Long non-coding RNA from Puntigrus tetrazona (Sumatra barb), 374 nucleotides. RefSeq lists it as uncharacterized. The transcript is spliced from 3 exons. Lineage: Eukaryota; Metazoa; Chordata; Actinopteri; Cypriniformes; Cyprinidae. The record is from RefSeq and is a predicted model, not a curated record.